Molecule: transfer RNA, 63 nt
Filed under: Dorcus hirticornis
Lineage: Eukaryota; Metazoa; Arthropoda; Insecta; Coleoptera; Lucanidae
Description: tRNA-His
Source: RNAcentral
AUUUAAGUAGUUUAAGUGAAAAUGUUGAUUUGUGGAGUCGAGGAUGUAGGAAUACCUUAAAUA